AAUCCAUAGGUUAAUGAGGCGAACCGGGGGAACUGAAACAUCUAAGUACCCCGAGGAAAAGAAAUCAACCGAGAUUCCCCCAGUAGCGGCGAGCGAACGGGGAGGAGCCCAGAGCCUGAAUCAGCAUGUGUGUUAGUGGAAGCGUCUGGAAAGGCGCGCGAUACAGGGUGACAGCCCCGUACACAAAAGCGCAUGUGCUGUGAGCUCGAUGAGUAGGGCGGGACACGUGGUAUCCUGUCUGAAUAUGGGGGGACCAUCCUCCAAGGCUAAAUACUCCUGACUGACCGAUAGUGAACCAGUACCGUGAGGGAAAGGCGAAAAGAACCCCGGCGAGGGGAGUGAAAAAGAACCUGAAACCGUGUACGUACAAGCAGUGGGAGCACA
This 384-nucleotide ribosomal RNA is filed under the name Salmonella enterica subsp. enterica serovar Infantis. RNAcentral describes it as "partial 23S ribosomal RNA". It matches the Rfam family "Bacterial large subunit ribosomal RNA", at positions 161 to 583 of the family's 2925-position model. RNAcentral also lists the same sequence under 15 other names. The record is from RNAcentral. Lineage: Bacteria; Pseudomonadati; Pseudomonadota; Gammaproteobacteria; Enterobacterales; Enterobacteriaceae.